RNAcentral lists this ribosomal RNA (449 nucleotides) under Bacillus altitudinis. RNAcentral describes it as "bacterial SSU rRNA". It matches the Rfam family "Bacterial small subunit ribosomal RNA", at positions 91 to 519 of the family's 1533-position model. Lineage: Bacteria; Bacillati; Bacillota; Bacilli; Caryophanales; Bacillaceae. The record is from RNAcentral.
GUUAGCGGCGGACGGGUGAGUAACACGUGGGUAACCUGCCUGUAAGACUGGGAUAACUCCGGGAAACCGGAGCUAAUACCGGAUAGUUCCUUGAACCGCAUGGUUCAAGGAUGAAAGACUUUUUUCGGCUGUCACUUACAGAUGGACCCGCGGCGCAUUAGCUAGUUGGUGAGGUAACGGCUCACCAAGGCGACGAUGCGUAGCCGACCUGAGAGGGUGAUCGGCCACACUGGGACUGAGACACGGCCCAGACUCCUACGGGAGGCAGCAGUAGGGAAUCUUCCGCAAUGGACGAAAGUCUGACGGGAGCAUCGCCGCGUGAGUUUUUUAAUUUUUUUCGGAUCGUAAAGCUCUGUUGUUAGGGGAAGAACAAGUGCAAGAGUAACUGCUUGCCCCUUUUCUCCGUCCCUAACCAGAAAGCCACGGGUUACUCCGUGCCGGCGGCCGUG